Molecule: transfer RNA, 117 nt
Filed under: Dracunculus medinensis (Guinea worm)
Lineage: Eukaryota; Metazoa; Nematoda; Chromadorea; Rhabditida; Dracunculidae
Rfam family: tRNA
About the family: Transfer RNA (tRNA) molecules are approximately 80 nucleotides in length.
Source: Rfam by way of RNAcentral
GCACGGAUGGCCGAGUGGUCUAAGGCGCCAGACUCAAGCAUUGGCUUGGUGCGAGCGCAGCACCAUGGGUGUUCUGGUAUCGUAAUCGAUGCAUGGGUUCGAAUCCCAUUCCGUGCA